GGAUCCAGACUUUGAUUAUGGCUCAGGAUGAACGCUAGCUACAGGCUUAACACAUGCAAGUCGAGGGGAAACGAUAUUGGAAGCUUGCUUCCGAUAGGCGUCGACCGGCGCACGGGUGAGUAACACGUAUCCAACCUGCCCAUCACUUGGGGAUAACCUUGCGAAAGUAAGACUAAUACCCAAUGACGUCCAUAGAAGACAUCUGAAAUGGAUUAAAGAUUCAUCGGUGAUGGAUGGGGAUGCGUCUGAUUAGCUUGUUGGCGGGGUAACGGCCCACCAAGGCGACGAUCAGUAGGGGUUCUGAGAGGAAGGUCCCCCACAUUGGAACUGAGACACGGUCCAAACUCCUACGGGAGGCAGCAGUGAGGAAUAUUGGUCAACGGGCGAGAGCCUGAACCAGCCAAGUAGCGUGCAGGAUGACGGCCCUAUGGGUUGUAAACUGCUUUUAUAAGGGAAUAAAGUGAGUCUCGUGAGACUUUUUGCAUGUACCUUAUGAAUAAGGACCGGCUAAUUCCGUGCCAGCAGCCGCGGUAAUACGGAGGGUCCGGGCGUUAUCCGGAUUUAUUGGGUUUAAAGGGAGCGUAGGCCGGAGACUAAGCGUGUUGUGAAAUGUAGACGCUCAACGUCUGCACUGCAGCGCGAACUGGUUUCCUUGAGUACGCACAAAGUGGGCGGAAUUCGUGGUGUAGCGGUGAAAUGCUUAGAUAUCACGAAGAACUCCGAUUGCGAAGGCAGCUCACUGGAGCGCAACUGACGCUGAAGCUCGAAAGUGCGGGUAUCGAACAGGAUUAGAUACCCUGGUAGUCCGCACGGUAAACGAUGGAUGCCCGCUGUUGGUCUGAAUAGGUCAGCGGCCAAGCGAAAGCAUUAAGCAUCCCACCUGGGGAGUACGCCGGCAACGGUGCAACUCAAAGGAAUUGACGG
RNAcentral lists this ribosomal RNA (924 nucleotides) under uncultured Bacteroidota bacterium. RNAcentral describes it as "bacterial SSU rRNA". It matches the Rfam family "Bacterial small subunit ribosomal RNA", at positions 1 to 916 of the family's 1533-position model. The record is from RNAcentral. Lineage: Bacteria; Pseudomonadati; Bacteroidota.